AUCCCAGAUAUAUCUUCUCUUAUGUUUAUCUGAUUCAUGGGAGGCAAAUAUUGAACAAUGGAAGUUUCGCUGAUAGCACCUUUUUUGUCUUUCCGGAGGUGUUUUAAUAGUAGCUUUCCAUACAUAA
Molecule: small nucleolar RNA, 127 nt
Organism: Quercus lobata
Lineage: Eukaryota; Viridiplantae; Streptophyta; Magnoliopsida; Fagales; Fagaceae
Source: RefSeq, a predicted model, not a curated record